RNAcentral lists this ribosomal RNA (779 nucleotides) under uncultured bacterium. RNAcentral describes it as "bacterial SSU rRNA". It matches the Rfam family "Bacterial small subunit ribosomal RNA", at positions 8 to 794 of the family's 1533-position model. The record is from RNAcentral.
AGAGUUUGAUCAUGGCUCAGGACGAACGCUGGCGGCGUGCUUAACACAUGCAAGUCGAGCGGUAAGGCACUUCGGUGUACACGAGCGGCGAACGGGUGAGUAACACGUGAGUAAUCUGCCCUUCACUCUGGGAUAAGCACUCGAAAGGGUGUCUAAUACCGGAUACGACGCACCUGGGCAUCCAGUGUGUGUGGAAACUUUUGUGGGUGGGGGAUGUGCUCGCGGCCUAUCAGCUUGUUGGUGGGGUAAUGGCCUACCAAGGCUUCGACGGGUAGCCGGCCUGAGAGGGUGACCGGCCACACUGGGACUGAGACACGGCCCAGACUCCUACGGGAGGCAGCAGUGGGGAAUAUUGGACAAUGGGCGGAAGCCUGAUCCAGCAACGCCGCGUGAGGGAUGACGGCCUUCGGGUUGUAAACCUCUUUCAGUACCGACGAAGCGCCUUUGUGGGUGGUGACGGUAGGUACAGAAGAAGCACCGGCCAACUACGUGCCAGCAGCCGCGGUAAUACGUAGGGUGCGAGCGUUGUCCGGAAUUAUUGGGCGUAAAGGGCUCGUAGGCGGUUUGUCGCGUCGGGAGUGAAAACACUGGGCUUAACCGAGUGCUUGCUUUCGAUACGGGCAGACUAGAGGUAUGCAGGGGAGAACGGAAUUCCUGGUGUAGCGGUGAAAUGCGCAGAUAUCAGGAGGAACACCGGUGGCGAAGGCGGUUCUCUGGGCAUUACCUGACGCUGAGGAGCGAAAGUGUGGGGAGCGAACAGGAUUAGAUACCCUGGUAGU